This 332-nucleotide unclassified non-coding RNA is filed under the name soil metagenome. Its description in RNAcentral is "partial contains 5.8S ribosomal RNA, internal transcribed spacer 2, and large subunit ribosomal RNA". The stretch from base 1 to 120 matches the Rfam family "5.8S ribosomal RNA", at positions 35 to 154 of the family's 154-position model. The record is from RNAcentral.
GAUGAAGAACGCAGCAAAAUGCGAUAAGUAAUGUGAAUUGCAGAAUUCAGUGAAUCAUCGAAUCUUUGAACGCACAUUGCGCCCGCCAGUAUUCUGGCGGGCAUGCCUGUUCGAGCGUCAUUUCAACCCUCAAGCACAGCUUGGUGUUGGGACUCGCGUUAAUUCGCGUUCCCCAAAUUGAUUGGCGGUCACGUCGAGCUUCCAUAGCGUAGUAGUAAAACCCUCGUUACUGGUAAUCGUCGCGGCCACGCCGUUAAACCCCAACUUCUGAAUGUUGACCUCGGAUCAGGUAGGAAUACCCGCUGAACUUAUGCAUAUCAAUAAGCGGAGGA